RNAcentral lists this ribosomal RNA (253 nucleotides) under uncultured bacterium. RNAcentral's name for it is "partial 16S ribosomal RNA". It matches the Rfam family "Bacterial small subunit ribosomal RNA", at positions 524 to 776 of the family's 1533-position model. The record is from RNAcentral.
UACGUAGGGGGCAAGCGUUGUCCGGAAUCAUUGGGCGUAAAGCGCGCGUAGGCGGCCCGGUAAGUCCGCUGUGAAAGUCCAGGGCUCAACCCUGGAAAGCCGGUGGAUACUGUCGGGCUAGAAUCCGGAAGAGGCGAGUGGAAUUCCUGGUGUAGCGGUGAAAUGCGCAGAUAUCAGGAGGAACACCGAUGGCGAAGGCAGCUCGCUGGGACGGUAUUGACGCUGAGACGCGAAAGCGUGGGGAGCAAACAGG